Molecule: non-coding RNA, 24 nt
Filed under: Arabidopsis thaliana (thale cress)
Lineage: Eukaryota; Viridiplantae; Streptophyta; Magnoliopsida; Brassicales; Brassicaceae
Source: RNAcentral
ACCACACCUGGUAACCGCUCCAAC